UGUGCGGGACGACCCGUACAUGCUGCUUUUUUCAGGGACGCCCCU
Molecule: non-coding RNA, 45 nt
Filed under: Edwardsiella ictaluri
Lineage: Bacteria; Pseudomonadati; Pseudomonadota; Gammaproteobacteria; Enterobacterales; Hafniaceae
Description: Guanidine-II sequence
Rfam family: Guanidine-II riboswitch aptamer (mini-ykkC)
About the family: Simpler in structure and has fewer highly conserved nucleotide positions than the ykkC-yxkD leader. Despite this each of its two stem-loop structures directly bind free guanidine.
Source: RNAcentral